This 200-nucleotide long non-coding RNA is filed under the name Elaeis guineensis (African oil palm). RNAcentral describes it as "long non-coding RNA (EGUI_LNC056683)". Lineage: Eukaryota; Viridiplantae; Streptophyta; Magnoliopsida; Arecales; Arecaceae. The record is from RNAcentral.
AAUAAUGCCUUGCUUGCAUGCCUACAAUAGUUUUGAUUUGUUCAAACAGUAUAGAAAACUAUUUAGCUUCAUCAGUUUUUUAUACGUAUUAUGUGUUUCUUUUCCAGAUAUCAUCAUGUCAGUUGGUUCGGGUAUUUUAAAAAUGUAAUGAAUGUGGUUAAUGAGCAAUAUGUAGUUUGUCGCUUCAAUUGAUUGGCCUG